AACGAACGCUGGCGGCAGGCCUAACACAUGCAAGUCGAACGGAUGUAGCAAUACAUUAGUGGAGCACGGGUGCGUAACACGUGGGAAUGUACUCCAGGGUAAGGAAUAAUGUCUGGAAACGGACACUAAAACCUUAUAAUGACUUUGUACCAAAGAUUUAUCGCCCUGGGAUCAGCCCGCGCCUGAUUAGCUAGUUGGUAGGGUAAUGGCUCACCAAGGCUACGAUCAGUAGAUGGUCUGAGAGGAUGAUCAGCCACACUGGAACUGAGACACGGUCCAGACUCCUACGGGAGGCAGCAGUGAGGAAUAUUGCACAAUGGAGGAAACUCUGAUGCAGCCAUGCCGCGUGAGUGAAGAAGGCCUUCGGGUUGUAAAGCUCUUUUAGUCGUGAAGAUAAUGACGGUAGCGACAGAAAAAGCCCCGGCUAAAUUCGUGCCAGCAGCCGCAGUAA
This 451-nucleotide ribosomal RNA is filed under the name uncultured bacterium. Its description in RNAcentral is "partial 16S ribosomal RNA". It matches the Rfam family "Bacterial small subunit ribosomal RNA", at positions 29 to 523 of the family's 1533-position model. The record is from RNAcentral.